CUGGGUGACCAUAGUGGAGGGGUCACACCCGUUCCCAUUCCGAACACGGAAGUUAAGUUCUCUACGCCGAUGGUAGUGGGUUAAACCGCGAGAGUAGGUCGUUGCCCAGU
This 110-nucleotide ribosomal RNA is filed under the name bacterium. RNAcentral also lists the same sequence under 1 other name. The record is from RNAcentral.